Molecule: ribosomal RNA, 485 nt
Filed under: uncultured bacterium
Lineage: Bacteria
Description: bacterial SSU rRNA
Rfam family: Bacterial small subunit ribosomal RNA
Source: RNAcentral
AAUGAACGUUGGCGGCGUGGAUUAGGCAUGCAAGUCGAGCGAGAAGUGUAGCAAUACACGGACAGCGGCGAAAGGGAGAGUAAUGCGUAGGUACCUACCCCCGGGACCGGGAUAGCGGCGGGAAACUGCCAUUAAUACCGGAUAAUGUCCCCGGACCAAGGGUGAGAUUCCGCCUGGGGAGGGGCCUGCGUCCUAUCAGCUAGUUGGCAGGGUAAGGGCCUACCAAGGCUUUGACGGGUAGCGGGGGUGAGAGGACGACCCGCCUCACUGGGACUGAGACACUGCCCAGACACCUACGGGUGGCUGCAGUCGAGAAUCUUCCGCAAUGGGCGAAAGCCUGAAGGAGCGACGCCGCGUGCGGGAUGAAGGCCUUCGGGUUGUAAACCGCUGUCAGUGGGGAGGAAAUGCACGGGGGUUCUCCCUCGUGUUUGACCGAUCCGCAGAGGAAGCACAGGCUAAGUUCGUGCCAGCAGCCGCGGUAAAAC